UACAGAGGGUGCAAGCGUUAAUCGGAUUUACUGGGCGUAAAGCGUGCGUAGGCGGUUCGCUAAGUCGGUUGUGAAAUCCCUGGGCUUAACCUGGGAACUGCAGUCGAUACUGGCGGACUAGAGUACGGUAGAGGGUGGCGGAACUCCGGGUGUAGCGGUGAAAUGCGUAGAUAUCGGGAGGAACACCUAUGGCGAAAGCAGCUGUCUGGGCCUUUACUGACGCUAAGACUCGAAAGCUGGGGGAGCAAACAGG
RNAcentral lists this ribosomal RNA (253 nucleotides) under uncultured bacterium. RNAcentral describes it as "partial 16S ribosomal RNA". It matches the Rfam family "Bacterial small subunit ribosomal RNA", at positions 524 to 776 of the family's 1533-position model. The record is from RNAcentral.